RNAcentral lists this unclassified non-coding RNA (246 nucleotides) under Hevea brasiliensis (rubber tree). The record is from RNAcentral. Lineage: Eukaryota; Viridiplantae; Streptophyta; Magnoliopsida; Malpighiales; Euphorbiaceae.
CUCAAUUGCUAUGUUGCUUUAUUAUCCUCACCUUCCUUUCCAUGUUCAUCUUCCCAUCUCAAUCCACUUCCAGAAAAGAUAUUGCUAAGUUUCCAUCUGAUGUCAAAUAUAACGAGAAGGUUAAUGUGUCCCUCUACCAUGAAACUCUCUGUCCAAGCUCUGCAUCCUACAUUUUGCAUGAUCUGUCCAACGCCCUCUUCAAAGAACGUCUCUUUCACAUAGUCAACCUGAGGAUGGUUCCAUGGG